This is a long non-coding RNA of Zingiber officinale, 422 nucleotides long. RefSeq lists it as uncharacterized. The transcript has 3 exons. NCBI's taxonomy places the organism in Eukaryota, Viridiplantae, Streptophyta, Magnoliopsida, Zingiberales, Zingiberaceae. The record is from RefSeq and is a predicted model, not a curated record.
GCGACAGUCAACAAAAGGUUGUGGUCCAAAUCUCAAUGGAGAUAAUAUAAAUUUGUACUGUUGAUUGUCUCAACAAACUUGGUUGGUUCAUUAAUCCGUAUGAAGUAAUUCAUCUCAUGGAGUUCGAGACAAGGGAGGGCAAAGGGAAAAAAUCAUAGACAUGCAUGCUACUAGCAAGAGGAUAGAUGAAGACAUUAUUGAAAGUAAAAAAGUGUUGAACUUCUUAUCACAAAAAAUAGAUAGAGGGAAGAAAAGUUUAUCAACUAAGGUAGGCAAAGCAAAGAAAAGGAGAAGGUUUGUAAAAUGAUUUAAGAGGUGAAAUAUUCAAAUCAUUUAUAUCUAGGAGGAUAUGAUCCUUGUGAUCAUGAGCGUCGUGAUAGAAUGUAAAGAUUAGAUUACUUAAGGUGAGAUUUAAAAAUUUA